UAAGUCGGUGCGUGAAUCGAGGCUCGAGCAACGGUGUUUAGCGCGCACCGAGCUAUCACUAACUCGUGCCUUAGACUCGCUCCCCAAGUCGCGGGAACAGGGAAAGGUGUAGCGAGGCCGGUGGCGUCGGAUCUGCCACCACGUUGCACACGAAGUGCGGCACCACCGGAGCCCAAGACGAAGACCUAAGUGGCGAGAUAACGGCGAGCUCGACACGCCAUGGCGUCCAACCAAGAAAGAAGGCAGGCGAAGCCCGAGCGGUCUCGACGAACGAAUCUACUCUGACGCCCAAAAGAACACUGCUUACAUGCCCAUAAGCUGGCCAAGUCCAAGUUCAGUGCAAGAAACGCUGAUGAGAUUUUCUUCGAGGUAAUCGGCGGAUCAAUGGUCGCUGGUAAGCGUCGGCCGCACUCUGUAGGUUCAUCAUCUGCUUUAUUACGUAUGCUCCCAUGUGUCUUUCUUUCUAAGUUAAGAUUGCUGUGGCUAAGGUUUUAUCAUUCAUGCUUAAAUGCACGCACAUGUUGUGUUCGAGAGAAUGCGCGUGACAAAUGGGUCGUCUUGUUACAAGGCUGAUGAAUUUUGGAGUUGUGAUGCAUACGAACAGUGAUACCAUGGUAAGUCCUCCUGCCAAAGCUGAGAGCAUGAAGCAAUACAAAUGCACCUGUCGCAGUUCAAAGAAAGGAAAGGCAAUAACUUUGACUGACUUGCCGGUUUCAGUCCCGACUUAACCAAACUGAUCAGAUAUGGUCUGAAGGAUGAAAGACGAUUGUGGUUACAUAGAAUAAGUGGUCUGAAGGCAUGGAUUAUUCAUGGAUACCGUCCUGGUAAACUGGAACUUCUACUCUGCUUCUUCUAAGCUCAUGCAAUUGUCUCGCAUCGAAUUUUGUUUAAUUUAGGAAGUAUAUAUAGGCUGAGAUGUAUCUUGAGAGUAGUUCAAUUAUGACUACAUGACUGCAAUGGAGUUCGUCACAGAUGAGUCAUCCUUGUGUGCAUAAUUCGAUACUAUUUUUUUAUUUAUGAUGCAUAUGUUUUUCUCUUCAGGACUAAAUUUUUUUUUAUUCCUGAUUCACCAGGUGUGGUCUCAUGUAGGACCGGUCACAGUUCCACACAUAUGCAAAACGUGUGCAUGGAGAGGCCAGUUGUCAUUUAACAUUGGUCCAUGAUGGAGUAUCGUCUUGUUUGAACAAACACCAUUGUUUGCAAAGUGAUGCAGCUGCGAUUGGUGAUGGAAGGAUUGAUAUGCGUCCUAAUCUCACAAUUAAGGAUACAUGUAUGAAGUUUUUCUGUGUAUGGAUGAAAGACUAUGUAUAUUGAUUCUCUCCAGACCCAUAUUGAUAGAAGCCUUGGCUAUGGCUUUGUGCCUAACCUUCAUGGUUUCAAUUCUUAUGCAAUUGAUUCCUACACGCUAUAUGAUUAGAUGGACGCUAUGUAAUCUUUGAAUGAAAUGAAUAAAUUCUUUUUAGAAAUCA
Molecule: long non-coding RNA, 1469 nt
Organism: Musa acuminata AAA Group (dessert banana)
Lineage: Eukaryota; Viridiplantae; Streptophyta; Magnoliopsida; Zingiberales; Musaceae
Exons: 4
Source: RefSeq, a predicted model, not a curated record